CUGGCCAGGACUGGCCGGUGGCACGGGGCCGGCCGAUGAUGGCAUAGGGCUGGCUGAUGGCACGGGGCGCUGCCGGAGGCUUCCCGCCGGUGUGUGGCUCCACACAGCGACAGCGCUAAGAAGUGAGGCGGGCCGAGGCCGGCUGGCCCAGGGCCCCCCUGCCCAGAGGGCCCCCCCCUGCCCGGAGGGCCCCCCCCUGCCCGGAGGGCCCCCCCUGCCCGGAGGGCCCGCACGGGGGGGAGCCCUGACGGUCCCGGGCCGGGGCCGGGGGGAGAGGGGAAAGAGGGGGCUGUCCCGGGCAGGGCGGGCCGAGGAGAGGGCGGCGGAGGGCCGGGACCGAGCGGGACCCCGCGGCGCCCAGCGCCCCUCGCCCACACUGGACUUUGAUCCCAGGAGAAGAGCUCGUGCGGGAUAACUGAGCCAGGACCGAGCUUUGUGGGAUUUAUCGGAGCCCAAUUCCUUCAGCAGCAGCAGGAGCAGGAAAAAGACCGGCUCCGGGGAAGAGCUCAGCCCCGGUAGGACCGGCUGAGAGAAGCGCUCUGCCCCUCCGUCCCCCCGAGUCCCCUCGGUCCAGGACCGGAGGGGAUGGACAGAGCCCCCCGGUUCCUGCCGCGACCCCCUUUCCCCCCCCGGACUUUUGAUUGACCCCUCCUCCCGCCCUCUGCCCGGAUGGACGGAGAGUAAGUAAUUCCCCCCUCACCGUCCAUCCAGGGUGAACCACUGCUCGCUCCCCGCCUCUGGUGGCGACCAACAUCCCGGGUGGACCACUGCCCGCUCCCAGAGUUGGGAUUGGGCCCCUGCGACUUAGAAAAAGGCCUGGGUCAGGGGGUCGCGGGGUGGGCAGGGGAAAGGAGGGAGAGAAGACGAAGCUGGACGCUUUGGAGACACCAUGGGCGCAGAGGGCGGGAGCCAGGUCUGCCGGGCUCCGAAAUAAUCCCACCCGGGCACGAUGUCCACCAGCGGAUUGCCGAUGUUUGGGAAAUAGCUCUGCCAGGCGAGGCUGGCCCGGGAAUACCUGCUUUGAGAAACCAAGAAGUCUCUCCAUCCCAUCAUAUUGGCAAAUUGGAAAGAGAUCUCCUCGCCCUGCUAUGGAAAAUGAACUGCUGUAGAUAAAGAUUAUUGCAUCGGGAGGUGAACAGGCUAUAAUACACUUCAGUUUUAAGGUGAGUCUGCACAACUGAUUUUAUUAAUUUCCAUACAGCAGUGUAUAUUCUGGCUACACAGGCUAGAUGAAACGUCAAGUGCUAGCUACUGUGUUAAUUUUUUGAAAAUGAAUAUUGAGAUUAUAGCUUACUCUGGUUUACCAUAACUUUUGCUUUAACCUAGAUUUAGGAUAUUAUCCCAUCAUCAUUUUCCUUUCUU
Molecule: long non-coding RNA, 1362 nt
Filed under: Ornithorhynchus anatinus (platypus)
Lineage: Eukaryota; Metazoa; Chordata; Mammalia; Monotremata; Ornithorhynchidae
Description: lncRNA (ENSOANG00000033390.2)
Source: RNAcentral